RNAcentral lists this ribosomal RNA (253 nucleotides) under uncultured bacterium. RNAcentral's name for it is "partial 16S ribosomal RNA". It matches the Rfam family "Bacterial small subunit ribosomal RNA", at positions 524 to 776 of the family's 1533-position model. The record is from RNAcentral.
UACGGAAGGGGCAAGCGUUGUUCGGAAUCAUUGGGCGUAAAGGGCGCGUAGGUGGUUCUGUAUGUCUACCGUGAAAGCAUACAGCUCAACUGUAUUUUGUCGGUAGAAACUGCAGGACUUGAGGCUGGGAGGGGCUGGUGGAAUUCCCUGUGUAGCGGUGAAAUGCGUAGAGAUGGGGGAGAACACUCGUGGCGAAGGCGGCCAGCUAGACCAGUUCUGACACUGAGGCGCGACAGCGUGGUGAGCAAACAGG